This is a non-coding RNA of Danio rerio (zebrafish), 74 nucleotides long. NCBI's taxonomy places the organism in Eukaryota, Metazoa, Chordata, Actinopteri, Cypriniformes, Danionidae. The record is from the annotation of a RefSeq genome assembly.
GCUCCAGUGGCGCAAUCGAUCAGCGCGCGGUACUUAUAAUGCCGAGGUUGUGAGUUCGAGCCUCACCUGGAGCA